RNAcentral lists this long non-coding RNA (4340 nucleotides) under Ananas comosus (pineapple). Its description in RNAcentral is "long non-coding RNA (ACOM_LNC000004)". The record is from RNAcentral. Lineage: Eukaryota; Viridiplantae; Streptophyta; Magnoliopsida; Poales; Bromeliaceae.
UUUCUUAUCAUACCUACUCCAACCAAUCAUUAUCCUUCUUUAUCAAUCAUUAUCUUCUUAUCCCAUCUACUCCAACCAAACACUAUUUUUCAUUAUUCUAGACUAACUCCAACCCCCAACCAAACACAAAAAAAUUUUAACCCAUUUUAACCCUGAACUUAACCCUAUCUCUGGAAUAGCUACUUUUUCCUUAACCCCGAACCAAACGGAGGCUAAGCCUGAACUUAACCCUAUCUCUGGAAUAGCUACUUUUUCCUUAACCCCGAACCAAACGGAGGCUUAAGGUUUUUCUUUUUUUGUAAGUUUCCUCUCUUAUCUGAUAUUUUUCAUUUUUGGUAAUCAGAGCACUAAAUUAACAAAUUAACUGAUAUUGUGCUGAUAAUAUGCUACGUGUUUCUACAUAUCAUCCUUGGCGGCCUUGCAAUUUUUUUAUUAUGGAGUUUAGAAGUAACCAAGCAUGAAUGCUCUUUGAAUGAUCUAGGGUUUUUCUUUUUUUGUAAGUUUCCUCUCUUAUCUGAUAUUUUUCAUUUUUGGUAAUCGGAGCACUAAAUUAACAAACUAACUGAUAUUGUGCCGAUAAUAUGCUACCUGUUUCUACAUAUCAUCCUUGGCGGCCUUGCAAUUUUUAAAUUAUGGAGUUUAGAAGUAGAAACCACAUGGCGCAUCACGAAGAUAAGUUUGUUUUUUUUUUUGGUUUUAAGUGGAAUGUGCCUUCAGAGAGUUCAUAUCUUUGGAAUUAGGAGGUACAUCCUAGAAUUAUAUAUAUUGAAACUUGAAGAGGCCAGCUGGCCCAAGCCUGAGCUUGGUCCAAUAUCUAAAACUCAGGUUUUCUGGUUGAUCUUUUGCAUGGUAAUUUUGCAAAACUGCCUCAUAUUGGUUUGCUUUUUGAGCCAGGGAGGUUUGAAACAGAUGUAUCCUGGUUUAAUUUUGUUCAUAUACUGGUUAAAAUUUGGAGAUGGAAACUUUUAGGUCUCUUGUCCAGCAUCUAGCUUUUGCCUGGGCUUCCAAUGCUUGCCGUGAUAACAAAGUUGUAUUUCUACAUUCAUUGCAUUGGUUAGAAUUUUAUUAAUAUUGCAUGUGCCAAAAAUGCAUGAAUCUCCAUUCUAUUCUGAGCUAACGGAGCAACUAUAAACCACCAAAUAGUGGUGGUAAGGGUGGCACAGAUUAGUCUCUUUCAUCCAUCAUUUGCACAUGAGGCAUGUUAUAAAUUUGAGCUUGUUCUACUCAUAUGACAGUUAAUUUGUUGAAAUUUACUAUCCUAUUGCUCUUUCACUUGGACAUCUAUUUUUUGAGUUAGAUUGAUGAGAAUGUAUCCUGGUUAUUUGAUGAAUUACAUUUUGCUGUUCUGUUAGUUCAACUUGUCAUUGUAUGGUGCUGUAUUUGAGUUAGUUUGGUAAGUAUACAUGCUAGUUAUUUGUCGAGUUUUUUUUCCAAAUCCUGCUAGUUCGUUCUGCUAUACUAGACAUCAUUGUUUGAAUUAGAUUAAUGAGUCCAUAUCAUGCUUAUCUGCUGAAUCUUGUUUUGCUGUCUUGCUAGUUCUGACAUCUAAUUUUCUGUUAGUUAGAGUAUAUAUGCCGGGAAUUUGUCGAAUCUUGUGUUUCUCUCCUGGUAGCUCAGUUUGUCAUCCUGGACAUCUCUUUAUUUUGGAGUUAGAUUGAUGAUUAUGUAUACUGGUGGUUUGUUGAAUCUAACUAUGCCGCCCUUCAGUAUGCUAUCCUAGACACUUUCUUUCAAUUAGUCUCUGUUCCUCUCUCGCCAUUCAGUUUGCUAUCCUGUGCAUGUACUUCGAGUUAGUUUGCUCAUAUGUGCUGGUUAUCUGUGCAUGUACUUCGAGUUAGUUUGCUCAUAUGUGCUGGUUAUCUGCUGAAAACCAACUCAAUCUCGACCCUUUAUCCUCCGGCCUAUACCAUUGUGAUAAUGUAAGCCCACAAAAAGAGAGCUAGUAACAUUGGGAAGGGUGGCAUGGAUUUGAACUGUUGUGUCGACCAUGCUGUACAUAAAUUUAUCUUUUAGCCUUGUGCUCAAUCGACUCAUAUCAUUGUUGAAUUGCUAAAUCUCCUUUUACCGUCCUUCUAGGUUUUCAUUGUAGACAUCUAUGUUUGAGCUGGAUUGAUGAGCAUAUAAUCUAGUUAUUUGCUAAUCUUAUUUUGCUAUUCCUGUUUGCGACUCUAGACAUCUAUUCAUCUAUGCAAGUUAUUUUGCUGUUAUUUGCCUAGACAUCCAUGUUUGAGUUUGGUGAGAUUACAUGCUAAUUAUCUGCUAAAUCUUAUUGUGUUGUCGUGCUAGUUCAGUAUGCCAUCCUAGACAUCUAUUUAUCAGUUAGUUUGCUGAGUUUGUACGUUGGUUAUUUGUUGAAUCUUAUUACUGUAUUGUUAGUUUGGUUUGCUGGUUUGCCAUCCUAACAUUUUUCUUUCCAGAUAGAGUAGUUCAUAUGCUAGUAGUCUGCUGAAUAUUUUUGGCUGUCUUCUUAGUUUAAAACCCUAAACCCUAACUUGCAAUGCUCUAAAGUCUUAAACUCGCAAACCUAAUGCCCUAAAAGGCUAAAACUCUUAAGAGAAGAUUAACUGAAUGCCCCUCUAAUGAGUUAUAAUUGCACAGAUGCCAUCUUGAAUUUUGAAGUAUCACAUAUGCUCUUCUAACUUGUAGCAAAACUAACCUUUUUUUCAAAAAUGUCCAUUGAGGAUUUCACUAGACCUACUUGGAUAAGCCAUGACCGACUUAAGAGGGCUAGCUGUUUUAAAAAAUAGGUCUUACCAGACCGGGCUGCCUACAAAGGUUACGCCACAAAUACAAAAUUUUCCAUCCUCUUUCUUUACCCUUUUGCCUCUACAUUCGUACGUUCAUUAGGGCAGUUGAGUCUGCUUAUUUGAAAGCAAUCUUGUCAAAAUCUUCAACAAAUCUAGAAGCACUGCAUCGAGUUUGAUCUUCUCCACGCUCUUUCAAAAAAUAUCUCCCCCAACCCAUCAUUUGUCUUAGAUAAUUGGCGGAAGAUUCUCGUUUUCAAGACCUUGUUAGUUCUAGGGAUUUUGAGAGCCCAAACAGUUGAAUUUUGAGAGCCUGAACAGUGCACCAGUACCUCCUUGACAGGACUGUUCAUGAAUCCUUUCGACUUUUUUAUUAUUUAAAUCUUUUUGGAAGUAAUUGAAUUUAUAGUUUUUAAUCAAUAUGUGAAUUCAAGUAUGGACUCUCAAUGUUUAAUCAAUUUUAAUCAAUUUAAAAAUUUAGCCCGUAUGAAGAGACAAAUGAGUGAGAGAGAGUUGGCCAAUGUGGCCAAGUGGGAGAUUGUUACCAUAUGGUGUGUCCACAUUGGCGGGUUAUGAUUAAACUCGAUCCACAUAAGAUGUGGAUCAUGAUUUAUCCUAAUAAGUUUAGGAUAAGUAUAAAACUUAUAUGUUUCUUAUUAGUUAAGAAACAUAUCUUAUAAUGGAUAUUUAUUAUAUGUUAAUAAAUAUCUCAAUCCUUAUCCUAAUCUAUAUGAGAUUCAGGAUAUUUAGGGGUUCCGUUAUUCUAUAUAUACGCCCCCGUUUUCUCCCGUAGGAACGACGGAAAAAGAAUACGAUCUAAUUCGAGAAUUCACAAAAAUCUUCCUACUUCUCUCUCUUCUUCCUCUCUGGGAUUUCCACCUACGUUCCCGGGGUUUUAGGGUGUGGACAUAGGAGAGGACUCUGGUAGCCCUCUUCGAUUGGCAUCCGUGACGUAAGGCAAUCCGUUCCGUGACGUAAGGCGUACGCGUGGAAGAAGACGAGAAACGUGUGAGAUCCAAAAGCAUCGAGACAAGGACGAUUCAAGAAGGCUUGUAAAACGAGCAACCCGAUCCGAUUUCGGUUCCCGGAUACGUUGGCUAUCCGGUUUGUAAGUUUCCGCUGCCUAUUAUUUCUAACAAAUAGGGCAAAUGAAUUAAAAUAAGGGGACCAAACCUAUGCAUUAGGGGCCCAAAGGUCGAUUUCAAUAAAAUGGGCCGGCACGCUUGGCCCAGAGACUAAUGGAACAACCAACGAGCCACCAUGAUUAAUUUUGACAUGGGCCUUACUCAUACUACUAUUGAAAAGAUUGAAUUCCUUAAUGGACUGAAAAUACCAUGAUCCAAGUACNUUUUGUACUGUAUGCUUAUCCUAAGCUGUUUUGUAAUGUUUGCUUGUCCUGCCAUAUUCUUCUAUGUGUAACUAGUAACAUAAAUCUAUGAUGUUUUAAAGUGCGUGUUGUGCCAUAAAUUUGUGUUGUUUUGUAAUCUUUGUUUUUCCUGUCAUGUUCUUCUAUGUACAAAUAGUGUCCAAUCUGUUGAAUGCCGUGGACACUUGGAUAAAUGUAUAAUGUAAGAGUUGAUAGCUAUUAUUAUUGAG